UACGGAGGGUGCAAGCGUUAUCCGGAUUCACUGGGUUUAAAGGGUGCGUAGGAGGGCAGGUAAGUCAGUGGUGAAAUCUUCGAACUUAACUCGGAAACUGCCGUUGAUACUAUCUGUCUUGAAUCCCGUGGAGAUGAGCGGAAUAUGUCAUGUAGCGGUGAAAUGCUUAGAUAUGACAUAGAACACCAAUUGCGAAGGCAGCUAACUAAGCUUAAACUGACGCUGAGGCACGAAAGUGUGGGGAUCAAACAGG
RNAcentral lists this ribosomal RNA (253 nucleotides) under uncultured bacterium. Its description in RNAcentral is "partial 16S ribosomal RNA". It matches the Rfam family "Bacterial small subunit ribosomal RNA", at positions 524 to 776 of the family's 1533-position model. The record is from RNAcentral.